Molecule: ribosomal RNA, 434 nt
Filed under: uncultured Clostridium sp.
Lineage: Bacteria; Bacillati; Bacillota; Clostridia; Eubacteriales; Clostridiaceae
Description: partial 16S ribosomal RNA
Rfam family: Bacterial small subunit ribosomal RNA
Source: RNAcentral
ACGGAAGGCAGCAGUGGGGAAUAUUGCACAAUGGGGGAAACCCUGAUGCAGCGACGCCGCGUGAGUGAAGAAGUAUUUCGGUAUGUAAAGCUCUAUCAGCAGGGAAGAAAAUGACGGUACCUGACUAAGAAGCCCCGGCUAACUACGUGCCAGCAGCCGCGGUAAUACGUAGGGGGCAAGCGUUAUCCGGAUUUACUGGGUGUAAAGGAAGCGUAGACGGCUGGGUAAGUCUGAUGUGAAAGCCCGGGGCUCAACCCCGGAACUGCAUUGGAAACUGCCAAGCUAGAGUGCAGGAGAGGUAAGUGGAAUUCCUAGUGUAGCGGUGAAAUGCGUAGAUAUUAGGAGGAACACCAGUGGCGAAGGCGGCUUACUGGACUGUAACUGACGUUGAGGCUCGAAAGCGUGGGGAGCAAACAGGAUUAGAUACCCUGGUA